AAAAAGCGUAACAAGGUCUCCGUGGUGAACCAGCGGAGGGAUCAUUACCGAGUUUACAACUCCCAAACCCCUGUGAACAUACCACUUGUUGCCUCGGCGGAUCAGCCCGCUCCCGGUAAAACGGGACGGCCCGCCAGAGGACCCCUAAACUCUGUUUCUAUAUGUAACUUCUGAGUAAAACCAUAAAUAAAUCAAAACUUUCAACAACGGAUCUCUUGGUUCUGGCAUCGAUGAAGAACGCAGCAAAAUGCGAUAAGUAAUGUGAAUUGCAGAAUUCAGUGAAUCAUCGAAUCUUUGAACGCACAUUGCGCCCGCCAGUAUUCUGGCGGGCAUGCCUGUUCGAGCGUCAUUUCAACCCUCAAGCACAGCUUGGUGUUGGGACUCGCGUUAAUUCGCGUUCCUCAAAUUGAUUGGCGGUCACGUCGAGCUUCCAUAGCGUAGUAGUAAAACCCUCGUUACUGGUAAUCGUCGCGGCCACGCCGUUAAACCCCAACUUCUGAAUGUUGACCUCGGAUCAGGUAGGAAUACCCGCUGAACUUAAGCAUAUCAAAAAACCGGGAGGAA
This 564-nucleotide ribosomal RNA is filed under the name Fusarium cf. oxysporum B164. RNAcentral describes it as "eukaryotic LSU rRNA". The stretch from base 196 to 349 matches the Rfam family "5.8S ribosomal RNA". Lineage: Eukaryota; Fungi; Ascomycota; Sordariomycetes; Hypocreales; Nectriaceae. The record is from RNAcentral.